RNAcentral lists this ribosomal RNA (398 nucleotides) under uncultured bacterium. RNAcentral's name for it is "partial 16S ribosomal RNA". It matches the Rfam family "Bacterial small subunit ribosomal RNA", at positions 523 to 918 of the family's 1533-position model. The record is from RNAcentral.
AUACGUAGGGUGCGAGCGUUGUCCGGAAUUACUGGGCGUAAAGAGCUCGUAGGUGGUUUGUCGCGUCGUCUGUGAAAUUCCGGGGCUUAACUCCGGGCGUGCAGGCGAUACGGGCAUAACUUGUGUACUGUAGGGGAGUCUGGAAUUCCUGGUGUAGCGGUGAAUGGCGCAGAUAUCAGGGGGAACACCGGUGGCGAAGGCGGGUCUCUGGGCAGUAACUGACGCUGAGGAGCGAAAGAAUGGGUAGCGAACAGGAUUAGAUACCCUGGGAGUCCAUGCCGUAAACGGUGGGCGCUAGGUGUAGGGGUCUUCCACGACUUCUGUGCCGUAGCUAACGCAUUAAGCGCCCCGCCUGGGGAGUACGGCCGCAAGGCUAAAACUCAAAGGAAUUGGCGGGG